CCAGGUCAGGCGGGAUUACCCGCUGAGUUUAAGCWUWUCAAUAAGC
RNAcentral lists this ribosomal RNA (46 nucleotides) under Psychotria hobdyi. RNAcentral's name for it is "partial 26S rRNA". Lineage: Eukaryota; Viridiplantae; Streptophyta; Magnoliopsida; Gentianales; Rubiaceae. The record is from RNAcentral.